AACGAACGCUGGCGGCAGGCUUAACACAUGCAAGUCGAACGAACGUAGCAAUACGUGAGUGGCGCACGGGAGAGUAACACGUGGGAACCUACCUUCUGGUUCGGAAUAACGUCGGGAAACUGACGCUAAUACCGGAUACGCCCUAUGGGGAAAAGAUUUAUUGCCAAAAGAUGGGCCCGCGCUAGAUUAGCUUGCUGGUGAGGUAACGGCUCACCAAGGCGACGAUAUAUAGCUGGUCUGAGAGGAUGACCAGCCUCACUGGGACUGAGACACGGCCCAGACUCCUACGGGAGGCAGCAGUGGGGAAUAUUGGACAAUGGGGGAAACCCUGAUCCAGCCAUGCCGCGUGAAUGAUGAAGGCCUUCGGGUUGUAAAGUUCUUUUGGUGGGGACGAUGAUGACGGUACCCACAGAAUAAGCUCCGGCUAACUUCGUGCCAGCCGCCGCGGUAA
Molecule: ribosomal RNA, 451 nt
Filed under: uncultured bacterium
Lineage: Bacteria
Description: partial 16S ribosomal RNA
Rfam family: Bacterial small subunit ribosomal RNA
Source: RNAcentral